UGUCGUCCCAUGACAGUUGCGAUUGUUAGGAUCGCAUUUUGGCUUUGGAUUACUAAUAAUACAGUUGCGAAUAAUUUUAGAAUUGCAGAUGGGCCCUUUGUUCACAGGGCCUUUGUAAACCAUAUGGCCGCCGUUAGCCGCCAUGUUUCCUGCAGCAGAGACUAAAACGAAGUUAGUGGGUUACGUUCAAAAUAAAAGGGGUGAGAGGUGGAAAUGUACGUUAAGCUUCACAAGACAGUUUCCGAGCACAUGUGAGGGGAGAAACAA
Ipomoea nil (Japanese morning glory) is the source of this 267-nucleotide long non-coding RNA. RefSeq lists it as uncharacterized. The record is from RefSeq and is a predicted model, not a curated record. The transcript is spliced from 3 exons. NCBI's taxonomy places the organism in Eukaryota, Viridiplantae, Streptophyta, Magnoliopsida, Solanales, Convolvulaceae.